UACGUAGGGGGCUAGCGUUGUCCGGAUUUAUUGGGCGUAAAGAGCGUGUAGGCGGCCAGGUAGGUCUGGUGUGAAAACUCGAGGCUUAACCUCGAGAUGUCAUCGGAAACCAUCUGGCUAGAGUCCGGAAGAGGAGAGUGGAAUUCCUGGUGUAGCGGUGGAAUGCGCAGAUAUCAGGAGGAACACCAAUAGCGAAGGCAGCUCGCUGGGACGUUACUGACACUGAGGCGCGAAAGCGUGGGGAGCGAACAGG
This 253-nucleotide ribosomal RNA is filed under the name uncultured bacterium. Its description in RNAcentral is "partial 16S ribosomal RNA". It matches the Rfam family "Bacterial small subunit ribosomal RNA", at positions 524 to 776 of the family's 1533-position model. The record is from RNAcentral.